Molecule: long non-coding RNA, 831 nt
Organism: Misgurnus anguillicaudatus (oriental weatherfish)
Lineage: Eukaryota; Metazoa; Chordata; Actinopteri; Cypriniformes; Cobitidae
Source: RefSeq, a predicted model, not a curated record
ACUGCCAGGCCGGACCGAUCGAUCGCCGGUUCAAUUCCUAAAGUAUUCAAUGAAUGUGAUCGGUUCUAAGGGAACUACCGAACAAGAGAUUCGAUUCAAUCAGAAAUGAGUUCAACUGAUUCAAUUGAACCGACACAAUGAACGCACGGGAGUGAUGGAGGCGUUGUGGAGGAAUGAAGAGGGGGGAGAUGAUGACACCUGCUGACAUCUCAAUGCUGAGGACGAUGAGUCAGGAGACAAACAGCAUCCCAGACAGACUGAACAGCAAACUAAGGUCAAACAUUGAAUUGUGUUUGAAACACAGAUACAGAUGCAUACCUCCCAUAUGCUGUCACACUCACCAAGACAAGUGUGCACAGACGUGUGUGAUACAGUAUGCAUACUAACUGCCAUUUGCUGAUGAUGUCGACGAUGAGCAACCAUUGAACCAUCCUGAAGCUCAAAGAAGAACAGAUGUGUGUGAUGAGACACUGACAUUCAGAUCCAAUAGAGAUGAAGGGUGGAGGGGUACGGGAUUGGCAAAGGACGUCGAGCCGGGAUUGGAACUCAGGUCACCAAAAGUGCAUCUGCACCAUAUGCCCACUACACCAUCGGCUCCGACUUCAUCAUUUUGUCUGUUCUUGAAAAAAUGUCACGAAAUCCAUUGAAACAUUUCUACACUGUAAUAAAUACACAGCAUAUUUGCCAAAUCAAAAUAUGUUUUGUUACUUUAACUAAAAAAAAUCAAUUUCAAUUUGAUGUUACUUUUUGAGUUAGGCUAUGUCACCUUUUCACAAGCCAAAACUUAAAAUAGUAGGCUGAAUUGACCUGCAAAACCAAGUUGUUUUAACU